This 300-nucleotide ribosomal RNA is filed under the name fungal sp. RNAcentral's name for it is "SSU rRNA". It matches the Rfam family "Eukaryotic small subunit ribosomal RNA", at positions 548 to 853 of the family's 1831-position model. The record is from RNAcentral. Lineage: Eukaryota; Fungi.
UUGGAGGGCAAGUCUGGUGCCAGCAGCCGCGGUAAUUCCAGCUCCAAUAGCGUAUAUUAAAGUUGUUGCAGUUAAAAAGCUCGUAGUUGAAACUUGGGUCUGGCUGGCAGGUCCGCCUCACCGCGUGUACUUGUCCGGCCGGGCCUUUCCUUCUGGAGAACCUCAUGCCCUUCACUGGGCGUGUUGGGGAACCAGGACUUUUACUUUGAAAAAAUUAGAGUGUUCAAAGCAGGCCUUUGCUCGAAUACGUUAGCAUGGAAUAAUAGCAUAGGACGUGCGGUCCUAUUUUGUUUGUUUUUA